AACGAACGCUGGCGGCAUGCCUAACACAUGCAAGUCGAACGAGACCUUCGGGUCUAGUGGCGCACGGGUGCGUAACGCGUGGGAACCUGCCCUUAGGUUCGGAAUAACUACCCGAAAGGGGUGCUAAUACCGGAUAAUGUCUUCGGACCAAAGAUUUAUCGCCUUUGGAUGGGCCCGCGUUGGAUUAGCUAGUUGGUAGGGUAAAAGCCUACCAAGGCGACGAUCCAUAGCUGGUCUGAGAGGAUGAUCCGCCACACUGGGACUAAGACACGGCCCAGAAUCCUAGGGGAGGGAGCAGAGGGGAAUAUUGGAAAAUGGGGGAAGGCCUGAUGCCGCAAUGACGGGUGAGUGAUGAAGGCCGUAGGGUUGUAAAGCUCUUUUACCCGGGAUGAUAAUGACAGUACCGGGAGAAUAAGCUCCGGCUAACUCCGUG
RNAcentral lists this ribosomal RNA (433 nucleotides) under uncultured bacterium. RNAcentral's name for it is "partial 16S ribosomal RNA". It matches the Rfam family "Bacterial small subunit ribosomal RNA", at positions 29 to 507 of the family's 1533-position model. The record is from RNAcentral.